AUGUCACAAUUUUGGUGGGGUGACGAGGACAAUCAGAAGAGGAUGCAUUGGAUGACGUGGUGGAAGAUGUGUGUCCCAAAAGACCAAGGAGGCAUGGGCUUCCGAGAUAUACAUUGUUUCAAUCUGGCUUUGCUAGCCAAACAGGCGUGGCGUUUGCUUGAUAAUCCAGAAUCAUUAUGUGCUACAAUCUUCAGAGCAAAAUACUUCCCAGAUGGUGAUUUAAUGAGUGCAAAUCUAAAGAAGGGUUCAUCUUUUACCUGGCAAAGCAUUAUGGAAGGAGUUAAUUCCCUAAGGAAUGGUUACAUCUGGCGAGUUGGAAAUGGACAAAAGAUUGAUAUUUGGGAAGAUGCAUGGAUCCCGAAUUGUGCAAGUAGGAAAAUUAUUACUCCUAGAAGGAGGCAUCUUUUGUCAAAGGUAGUAGGAAAAUUAUUACUCCUAGAAGGAGGCAUCUUUUGUCAAAGGUGUCUGACCUUAUUGACCCAAUCAUGA
This 489-nucleotide ribosomal RNA is filed under the name Triticum aestivum (bread wheat). RNAcentral describes it as "partial small subunit ribosomal RNA". Lineage: Eukaryota; Viridiplantae; Streptophyta; Magnoliopsida; Poales; Poaceae. The record is from RNAcentral.